GGCUCAGAACGAACGCUGGCGGCGCGUCUUAAGCAUGCAAGUCGAACGGCAAGAGGUAGCAAUACCUCCUAGAGUGGCGGACUGGUGAGUAACACGUGGGUGACAUACCCUUCAGAUGGGGAUAGCUAUUAGAAAUAGUAGAUAAUACCGAAUACGAGCACAGGGGUUAGAGAUCUGUGAGGAAAGGAGCUAAGGCUCCGCUGAAGGAAUGGCCUGCGGCCCAUUAGCUAGUUGGUGAGGUAAGAGCCCACCAAGGCGAUGAUGGGUAUCCGGCCUUAGAGGGUGAACGGACACAUUGGGACUGAGAUACGGCCCAGACUCCUACGGGAGGCAGCAGCUAAGAAUAUUCCGCAAUGGACGAAAGUCUGACGGAGCGACGCCGCGUGGAUGAAGAAGGCCGGAAGGUUGUAAAAUCCUUUUGAAACUGAAGAAUAAGCGUUGUAGGGAAUGACAGCGUGGUGACAGUAGGUUUUGAAUAAGCAACGGCUAAUUACGUGCCAGCAGCCGC
Molecule: ribosomal RNA, 508 nt
Filed under: uncultured bacterium
Lineage: Bacteria
Description: bacterial SSU rRNA
Rfam family: Bacterial small subunit ribosomal RNA
Source: RNAcentral